GAUGAACGCUAGCUACAGGCUUAACACAUGCAAGUCGAGGGGAAACGACAUCGAAAGCUUGCUUUUGAUGGGCGUCGACCGGCGCACGGGUGAGUAACGCGUAUCCAACCUGCCCAUCACUUGGGAAUAACCUUGCGAAAGUAAGACUAAUACCCAAUGAUAUCCCACGAAGGCAUCGGAAUGGGAUUAAAGAUUUAUCGGUGAUGGCUGGGGAUGCGUCUGAUUAGCUUGUUGGCGGGGUAACGGCCCACCAAGGCAACGACCAGUAGGGGUUCUGGGAGAACGGCCCCCCAAGUUGGACCUGAACCACGGUCAAAAUGCCACCGGGCGGAAGCAUUAGGGAUUAUUGGCCAUGGGCCAAGGCCCUAACCCAGCAAGGAGGCUGCAGGAAAGCCGCCCCAUGGGUUGUAAACUGCUUUUAGAAGGGAAUAAAGUGGGUCACGUGUGACUUUUUGCAUGUACCUUAUGAAUAAGGACCGGCUAAUUCCGUG
RNAcentral lists this ribosomal RNA (491 nucleotides) under uncultured bacterium. Its description in RNAcentral is "partial 16S ribosomal RNA". It matches the Rfam family "Bacterial small subunit ribosomal RNA", at positions 28 to 507 of the family's 1533-position model. The record is from RNAcentral.